AGUUUUGACAAAUAAGCACGUUUUGGAAUAAGUGCUUUCUGGUUUUUCAAGUCAACUAAGAACAAAACAAAUAAGCACUUUACAAUGGAUUUAUGGACCAAAUCACUACAGAAGAUAAUCUCUUUUGGGAUCAACAACAUGUGAUGGAAUUUAAGUAUAUGCUUUCCUAGUCACAUAUCAUGAAGAAAACCAUGAGCUUGAUCAAUUGUGGUAUUGGCCAACCAAUGAAUACAUCUGAUAUAAUAUUAUGGACCAAUCACAAAAGAACAACCAGAUUUUAACUAUGAGUUGUAUUGUACUUAUGCAA
RNAcentral lists this long non-coding RNA (307 nucleotides) under Trifolium pratense (red clover). RNAcentral's name for it is "long non-coding RNA (TPRA_LNC002869)". Lineage: Eukaryota; Viridiplantae; Streptophyta; Magnoliopsida; Fabales; Fabaceae. The record is from RNAcentral.